UUAAUCGAUGAUACGCGAGGAACCUUACCUGGGCUUAAAUGUAGAGUGCAUUUUUUAGAGAUAGAAAUUCCCUUCGGGGCUUUCUGCAAGGUGCUGCAUGGUUGUCGUCAGCUCGUGCCGUGAGGUGUCGGGUUAAGUCCCAUAACGAGCGCAACCCUUAUCGUUAGUUGCCAUCUGGUAAUGCAGGGGACUCUAGCGAAACUGCCGCCGUAAGGUGAGAGGAAGGUGGGAUGACGUCAAAUCAGCACGGCCCUUAUGUCCAGGGCUACACACGUGUUACAAUGGUCGGUACAGAGGGCAGCUACCUGGUGACAGGAUGCUAAUCUCGAAAAACCGGUCUCAGUUCGGAUCGAAGUCUGCAACUCGACUUCGUGAAGCUGGAUUCGCUAGUAAUCGCGCAUCAGCUAUGGCGCGGUGAAUACGUUCCCGGGCCUU
RNAcentral lists this ribosomal RNA (435 nucleotides) under uncultured Sphingobacteriales bacterium. RNAcentral's name for it is "bacterial SSU rRNA". It matches the Rfam family "Bacterial small subunit ribosomal RNA", at positions 947 to 1382 of the family's 1533-position model. The record is from RNAcentral. Lineage: Bacteria; Pseudomonadati; Bacteroidota; Sphingobacteriia; Sphingobacteriales.